UGGGGAAUAUUGGACAAUGGGCGAAAGCCUGAUCCAGCCAUGCCGCGUGUGUGAAGAAGGUCUUCGGAUUGUAAAGCACUUUAAGUUGGGAGGAAGGGUUGUAGAUUAAUACUCUGCAAUUUUGACGUUACCGACAGAAUAAGCACCGGCUAACUCUGUGCCAGCAGCCGCGGUAAUACAGAGGGUGCAAGCGUUAAUCGGAAUUACUGGGCGUAAAGCGCGCGUAGGUGGUUUGUUAAGUUGGAUGUGAAAUCCCCGGGCUCAACCUGGGAACUGCAUUCAAAACUGACAAGCUAGAGUAUGGUAGAGGGUGGUGGAAUUUCCUGUGUAGCGGUGAAAUGCGUAGAUAUAGGAAGGAACACCAGUGGCGAAGGCGACCACCUGGACUGAUACUGACACUGAGGUGCGAAAGCGUGGGGAGCAAACAGGAUUAGAUACCCGCGUAGUCCCUGAGCGGGCUGGCAAGGCGCAU
RNAcentral lists this ribosomal RNA (472 nucleotides) under uncultured bacterium. RNAcentral's name for it is "bacterial SSU rRNA". It matches the Rfam family "Bacterial small subunit ribosomal RNA", at positions 355 to 825 of the family's 1533-position model. The record is from RNAcentral.